Molecule: ribosomal RNA, 377 nt
Filed under: uncultured organism
Description: partial 16S ribosomal RNA
Rfam family: Bacterial small subunit ribosomal RNA
Source: RNAcentral
GUAGGUGGCAAGCGUUGUCCGGAAUUAUUGGGCGUAAAGCGCGCGCAGGCGGUUCUUUAAGUCUGAUGUGAAAGCCCACGGCUCAACCGUGGAGGGUCAUUGGAAACUGGAGAACUUGAGUGCAGAAGAGGAAAGCGGAAUUCCACGUGUAGCGGUGAAAUGCGUAGAGAUGUGGAGGAACACCAGUGGCGAAGGCGGCUUUCUGGUCUGUAACUGACGCUGAGGCGCGAAAGCGUGGGGGGGAGCAAACAGGAUUAGAUACCCUGGUAGUCCACGCCGUAAACGAUGAGUGCUAAGUGUUAGGGGGUUUCCGCCCCCCCCUUAGUGCUGCAGCUAACGCAUUAAGCACUCCGCCUGGGAGUACGGCCGCAAGGCUG